This 1481-nucleotide ribosomal RNA is filed under the name Raphidiopsis brookii D9. Its description in RNAcentral is "bacterial SSU rRNA". It matches the Rfam family "Bacterial small subunit ribosomal RNA". The record is from RNAcentral. Lineage: Bacteria; Bacillati; Cyanobacteriota; Cyanophyceae; Nostocales; Aphanizomenonaceae.
UGCUUAACACAUGCAAGUCGAACGGGAUGCUUAGGCAUCUAGUGGCGGACGGGUGAGUAACGCGUGAGAAUCUGGCUCCAGGUCGGGGAUAACAGUUGGAAACGACUGCUAAUACCGGAUGUGCCGAGAGGUGAAAGAUUUAUCGCCUGGAGAUGAGCUCGCGUCUGAUUAGCUAGUUGGCGGUGUAAGGGACCACCAAGGCAUCGAUCAGUAGCUGGUCUGAGAGGAUGAUCAGCCACACUGGGACUGAGACACGGCCCAGACUCCUACGGGAGGCAGCAGUGGGGAAUUUUCCGCAAUGGGCGAAAGCCUGACGGAGCAAUACCGCGUGAGGGAGGAAGGCUCUUGGGUCGUAAACCUCUUUUCUCAAGGAAGAAGAAAGUGACGGUACUUGAGGAAUAAGCAUCGGCUAACUCCGUGCCAGUAGCCGCGGUAAUACGGAGGAUGCAAGCGUUAUCCGGAAUGAUUGGGCGUAAAGGGUCUGCAGGUGGAACUGAAAGUCUGCUGUUAAAGAGUUUGGCUUAACCAAAUAAAAGCGGUGGAAACUACAGAACUAGAGUGCGGUAGGGGCAAAAGGAAUUCCUGGUGUAGCGGUGAAAUGCGUAGAUAUCAGGAAGAACACCGGUGGCGAAAGCGUUUUGCUAGACCGUAACUGACACUGAGGGACGAAAGCUAGGGGAGCGAAUGGGAUUAGAUACCCCAGUAGUCCUAGCCGUAAACGAUGGAUACUAGGCGUGGCUUGUAUCGACCCGAGCCGUGCCGGAGCUAACGCGUUAAGUAUCCCGCCUGGGGAGUACGCACGCAAGUGUGAAACUCAAAGGAAUUGACGGGGGCCCGCACAAGCGGUGGAGUAUGUGGUUUAAUUCGAUGCAACGCGAAGAACCUUACCAAGACUUGACAUCCUGCGAAUCCCAGUGAAAGCUGGGAGUGCCUUAGGGAGCGCAGAGACAGGUGGUGCAUGGCUGUCGUCAGCUCGUGUCGUGAGAUGUUGGGUUAAGUCCCGCAACGAGCGCAACCCUCGUUUUUAGUUGCCAGCAUUAAGUUGGGCACUCUAGAGAGACUGCCGGUGACAAACCGGAGGAAGGUGAGGAUGACGUCAAGUCAGCAUGCCCCUUACGUCUUGGGCUACACACGUACUACAAUGCUACGGACAGAGGGCAGCGAGCCAGGGAUGGCAAGCGAAUCCAGAAACCGUAGCUCAGUUCAGAUUGAAGGCUGCAACUCGCCUUCGUGAAGGAGGAAUCGCUAGUAAUUGCAGGUCAGCAUACUGCAGUGAAUUCGUUCCCGGGCCUUGUACACACCGCCCGUCACACCAUGGAAGUUGGUCACGCCCGAAGUCAUUACCCCAACCGAAAGGAGGGGGAUGCCUAAGGUAGGACUGGUGACUGGGGUGAAGUCGUAACAAGGUAGCCGUACCGGAAGGUGUGGCUGGAUCACCUCCUUUUAGGGAGACCUACCCAUUGAAGAAUCGAAAGCGGAAA